Molecule: unclassified non-coding RNA, 342 nt
Filed under: plant metagenome
Description: partial contains 5.8S ribosomal RNA, internal transcribed spacer 2, and large subunit ribosomal RNA
Rfam family: 5.8S ribosomal RNA (bases 1-103)
Source: RNAcentral
GAAGUGCGAUAAGCAAUGCGAAUUGCAGAACCGUGAGUCAUCAGAUUUUUGAACGCAACUGGCGCCAGUUGGCUCUCCAACCGGCAUGCUUGUUUCAGUGUCUCUUUAUCUCAUCACCCAUAUCAUAAUGCGAGAGAUACCCUUCUCUUGCUAAGCUCGAAAGCACUCUGCGCUCUGCGAGCGGCUUCGACUUGUUCGAGGGUCGCACUCAAUGCAGCCGUCACAUUGCUCACAAUGUGAACUCGUUGAGAGCUGAGGCAGUGUAGCGUAAGCUACCAGUGCUUAGUCACACAAACUUUACUUGCAUCUGAAAUCAAGCAGGAUCACCCGCUGAACUUAAGC